GGCCUGUAUUCAACUGCAUUGUUGUGAGCAGUUGGGCGCUGCAUCUCCAGAUUGGGACAGUCCUAGCUUGCAAGCAACAAUGUUGUGCAUUUGCAGGUCGAGUGCGCCGAGACUUUCGAGAAGGCGAUAUGAGCUCAAUUUUGAGGCCAGCUUGCUGGUACCCGGAUUGGAGGAAUGUUGUUCGUUUUGGAUGUGAAUGGGGGAAAGGUUUUCGGGCUCGUAUGGGUUCGAAUUGGUGUGGGGUGGCAGUUGCAUGCAACAUGUGCCUUCUGCCAAUUCGGUCCUGUGCGAGCUCACAAUCCCACUCUCGGCGUAAAAGUUGGUCAUCUAUCCGACCCGUCUUGAAACACGGACCAAGGAGUUUAUCGUGUGCGCAAGUCAUUGGGUGUUGAAAACUCAAAGGCGCAAUGAAAGUAAAGAAUCCGCAAGGAUACGACGUGUGAUCUGAGCAAUCACGAUUGCCUGGAGCAACAUGGCCCCAUUCUGGUCGCUUGCGACGGGGUGGAGGAAGAGCGUACGCGGUGAGACCCGAAAGAUGGUGAACUAUUCCUGAGCAGGAUGAAGCCAGAGGAAACUCUGGUGGAAGUCC
RNAcentral lists this ribosomal RNA (589 nucleotides) under Pratylenchus penetrans. Its description in RNAcentral is "eukaryotic LSU rRNA". It matches the Rfam family "Eukaryotic large subunit ribosomal RNA", at positions 440 to 876 of the family's 3401-position model. Lineage: Eukaryota; Metazoa; Nematoda; Chromadorea; Rhabditida; Pratylenchidae. The record is from RNAcentral.